GACGAACCGUCCGAACGUUUUUCGGAAUCACUGGGCUUAAAGGGUGCGUAGGCGGGUUUUCCAGUCUGGGGUGAAAUCCCACGGCUCAACCGUGGAAUUGCCUCAGAUACUGACGACCUCGAGGGAGGUAGGGGCGAGCGGAACUGUGGGUGGAGCGGUGAAAUGCGUUGAUAUCCACAGGAACUCCGGUGGCGAAGGCGGCUCGCUGGACCUCUUCUGACGCUGAGGCACGAAAGCUAGGGGAGCAAACGGG
RNAcentral lists this ribosomal RNA (253 nucleotides) under uncultured bacterium. RNAcentral describes it as "partial 16S ribosomal RNA". It matches the Rfam family "Bacterial small subunit ribosomal RNA", at positions 524 to 776 of the family's 1533-position model. The record is from RNAcentral.